Gasterosteus aculeatus aculeatus (three-spined stickleback) is the source of this 2352-nucleotide long non-coding RNA. NCBI's taxonomy places the organism in Eukaryota, Metazoa, Chordata, Actinopteri, Perciformes, Gasterosteidae. The record is from Ensembl.
AAGACGCCCGAGGACGAGGAGGUGUUAAUUACCACAAACAAUCCCUUAACCAGCUAGUCAAUGUGCGACGAUAUAUUAUAUAAAAUGACUUCCUGGUAGGACAGUAAGUCAAAAGGAUAAAUAAGCGCAUUUCUUUGCCAAAAAUGCCAAAUGAAGAGUUGAUACACUAGAGCUCAAAAUCCAAGAUGGCUGCUGUCCAUCAACAGUAAAGAGCUGUAGUAAAAUGUCUUCAUUAAGCACCUGGUCUCAUUUGUGUCAGUGAUGCAUAACUUCUAUCUGCGGGUACGUUGCUACGAAAACAAACAAUGGCAAACAUGGGAAGUUUCUUAAAUAAAGAGGAUUACUUCUGGAUCCAAAUGGCCCAGAGGACGUUCCAUGAAAGUGGGCAAGACGGCCGAUCAGUCCUGGGAAUGUUGGAGGUGCAGGUCGAGAGAGACCCUAAGACAGGCGCCACCUCCAUCAGGUCGGUGGCGCCUGUGUCCACGGCAACCGGCGAGGCGAUCUUCGACGACGGCAGAAGGAGCAUCCACGCGGUCGGCGGGUCGGGGAGCCAACCCUCGACCAAAGAGCUCGGCCACAUCCUGAGCAUCGUCGACGGGGUCGGGAUGAAAGCGCUGCUGGACGACAUGGCGCUCACGCCAAUCCAGGAGGAGGCGGAGACGCAGAGCGGAGAAGCCAGCACAGCUCCAGGGCGUCCAGUCGUGUCUUUUUCGACCCUUCGUGCACCAAAGGAGGACAACGCGCAGUUUGGAAGCUCUGGAGGCGACGGCUUGGAAGCCGAGCCGGGGGUAGAGCAGCGCUCUGCGAGCAUCCGACCCGAGGAGGAAAGAAAAGGGUACCUGAGGAUCUCGGCGCCCCGAGACACCGCGGGAGAAGUGGGCAACGUGGAGGAGCUGAGGUUGGAGGACGGCCCGGUCACUCUCAUGUUCCUGGGAUACAUGGACGAAGACCAAGGAGACGGCCGGGAGGAGCAUCAAGGCAUGUUGACCGCGGAGCACGUGAUCAUCACCGAGGAGGGAGAAGAGCGCGUCUUCGAAACCGAGACGUCCGCUUCACCUCAGGAAGGGAGAGAGUCCCGCGUGUCUCAGGACGUCCCCCUGGAUGGACACAGGGCCGGGAUUGAGGUCCAGGGAGAGGCAGGAGAUAAUGGGGGGCAGAAGUCGGCCUCCGCCGGUAAAGCCACCACCAAGCCCAAGACCUGCCAGUGUUGCAACGUCAUGUAAGAAGAGAUCAACCUCCAUCGUGUCAUCGGUGCCUGAAAGUCGACGAUGGCGCAUUGGAGUAGAGAGGGUGCGCCGUGAACCGCAAGGUUGGCGGUUCAAGCCCCGGCUGCUUCAUGUCCCCUGUCGAAGUGUCCCUGAGCAACACCUAACCCCUAAUUGCUCCCCGGGCAAAAAUGUAUAAAGCCAUGGGUUCAAAAUGCAGUCGCUUUGGAUAAAAGCGUCAGCUAAAUGACCUGUAAUGUAAAGGACUGGUAUGGAAGACGAGACCACCACAUCAUGUUCUCUCAACGACGUGGCUUUACUUUACCGUCGCAUCCCGUUGUGGGUCUUUCAUAGCAGGGAAAACGACCCGCGAGCCACUUCCUCCCUCUGGUGGACAAAGCCGAGAAUGUCAACAUGUCCUUGCAUAAUUUGCAUCAAAUGUCUCCAGUCCCUCAGGACUUCUUCUGUGGCUUUCCAUAUGUUUAGCUGUUGUUUUUCACUACCAAUGUAAAAAAGCCAAAGAGCAGAACAAUCACAUAAUACUACCAUCCUUUGACCUUUUUUAAUGGAAUUGGAGGAGUUCGUAUUCUACGACUAAACCUUUUUUUGAAUGUUGAGUUUCAUCUACUAGACUGGUCCUUUGGACGAGAUCCACUCAGCCAAACCACUUCACACUUGGCUUCCUCGGCUCCUGAGCAAACCCGACAGGUAUGAAGUCGAACUAAUCAAGGUUUUUGCAGACAAAUUCCAGGGCAGGCAAACAGAGAGACGGCCCUUUCAUUUCUGUUAAAUUCGAUUUAAGCAAAGCUCCCAUUGUAACGCUCUAGAUUGGGUUCAUUCAUGCGUCGGAAAAAGGGGGGGUUGGAAUAACUAAGUUCUCGGCAUUGUGGAGAAAAGCUUUCAAACUGCACUCAGGCAAUAGUUUAGGAGGAUACGAUCUGCAGCGAAAAUAUUUCUAAGCAUUUAAAUUACCAUUGAAAGUUUGGGAAAAGGAAUUUUUUCAAAAAAAUGGAAGACUUCCGAAUUUGUCAUAUGUCUGAAUAUUCAUGUCUGCUACACAGCAAAUAUCUGCUAAUAAGUAUGUUGUUAUUUAUAUCACUGUCGUUUUGUAUUCAAUUGAUUUAUUGAAGUGGAUGUCUACUGGAAU